UACGUAGGGUGCGAGCGUUAAUCGGAAUUACUGGGCGUAAAGCGUGCGCAGGCGGUUUUGUAAGCCAGAUGUGAAAGCCCCGGGCUCAACCUGGGAACUGCAAUGGAAACUGGCGGGCUUGAGUGUGGCAGAGGGGGGUGGAAUUCCGCGUGUAGCAGUGAAAUGCGUAGAGAUGCGGAGGAACACCGAUGGCGAAGGCAGCCCCCUGGGCCAACACUGACGCUCAGGCACGAAAGCGUGGGGAGCAAACAGG
Molecule: ribosomal RNA, 253 nt
Filed under: uncultured bacterium
Lineage: Bacteria
Description: partial 16S ribosomal RNA
Rfam family: Bacterial small subunit ribosomal RNA
Source: RNAcentral